This 794-nucleotide unclassified non-coding RNA is filed under the name Hevea brasiliensis (rubber tree). The record is from RNAcentral. Lineage: Eukaryota; Viridiplantae; Streptophyta; Magnoliopsida; Malpighiales; Euphorbiaceae.
AUUUAUAAACGCCUCAAUCGGAAAAAACCUCUCAACUUCUCACGCCUCAACACGAACGAAACCCUCCAGGAAGCUUCAAAUCAUAGUUUGAAGCCAUGGCUUUGGUCAAGAGAGCUGUGGUAUUGCUGUUGAUGAUGGCAUUGUUUCAGGUGAUGGAUGCAGCUAUUUACAAGGUUGGGGACUCAGCUGGUUGGACCACCAUUGGAAAUAUCGACUACAAAGGGUGGGCUGCUACUAAGACCUUUCAAGUCGGUGACACUAUUGUUUUUGAGUACAAUCCUCAAUUUCACAAUGUUAUGCGAGUAACACACGCCAUGUACAGGGCAUGCAAUGCCUCUGCCCCUUUGGCAACCUAUACCACGGGCAAUGAUUCAAUCACCAUAAAAACUCGUGGUCACCAUUUCUUUUUCUGCGGUGUCCCUGGCCAUUGCCAAGCUGGGCAGAAGGUUGACAUCAACUUGCCUCGCAAUGAAGAAGAUCUGGCUCCAACUCCUUCUGCUUCUACUUCUUCUACGCUCUCUCCUCCAGUUCCUGCUGCCAGAGUACCAGGCUCUUCGUCCAGCAGUGCCAUUUCAUUCAAGCAUUUAGGUAAUCUUGCUUCGGCUGUUGCUGUUUUGGAAACUCUGGUUUUCAAUUUUGCUUAAUUAAGAGGUGCUUGAUGAAACUUGGGAGGGAUUUAUGAGAUGGACCAAUUAGUUAUGUAAUAAUUGAAUUAUUAUAAUCUUGAUUAAAUGUAUUGAUCAGAACUAAUAAAGGAGCCUAAUCACUCACUUAACAUAUCCAAAUUCGAGAUU